GAACCACCCGGAUUGCCUCAGUAACGGCGAGUGAAGCGGCAACAGCUCAAAUUUGAAAUCUGGCCCUAGCGCCCGAGUUGUAAUUUGCAGAGGAUGCUUUUGGCAAGGUGCCUUCCGAGUUCCCUGGAACGGGACGCCAUAGAGGGUGAGAGCCCCGUACGGUCGGUUGCCGAGCCUCUGUAAAGCUCCUUCGACGAGUCGAGUAGUUUGGGAAUGCUGCUCUAAAUGGGAGGUAAACCCCUUCUAAAGCUAAAUAUUGGCCAGAGACCGAUAGCGCACAAGUAGAGUGAUCGAAAGAUGAAAAGCACUUUGAAAAGAGAGUUAAAUAGCACGUGAAAUUGUUGAAAGGGAAGCGCUUGUGACCAGACUUGUGCCUGGCAGCUCAGCCGUCCUUUUGGGCGGUGCAUUCUGCCGGCUCAGGCCAGCAUCAGUUCGUGGUUGGGGAGAAAGGCGGUGGGAACGUGGCUCUUCGGAGUGUUAUAGCCCGCCGCUAUGCCCUUCUGCGGACUGAGGUUCGCGCUCUGCAAGGAUGCUGGCGUAAUGGUCAUCAGCGACCGUCUUGAAACACGGACCAAGGAGUCGUCCUAAUAUGCGAGUGUUCGGGUGCCAAACCCCUGCGCGUAAUGAAAGGAACGGAGGUGAGAGCUUCGGCGCAUCAUCGACCGAUCCUGAUGUUCUCGGAUGGAUUUGAGUAAGAGCAUAUUGGGCCGGACCCGAAAGAAGAUGAACUAUGCGUGGAUAGGGUAAAGCCACAAGAAACUCUGGUGGAGCUCGCACGGUCUGACGUGCAAAUCGAUCGUCAAAUCUGCGCAUGGGGGCGAAAGACUAAUCGAAUCUUCUAGUA
Molecule: ribosomal RNA, 844 nt
Filed under: Magnisphaera stevemossago
Lineage: Eukaryota; Fungi; Ascomycota; Sordariomycetes; Microascales; Halosphaeriaceae
Description: eukaryotic LSU rRNA
Rfam family: Eukaryotic large subunit ribosomal RNA
Source: RNAcentral